CCAAUAGCGUAUAUUAAAGUUGUUGCAGUUAAAAAGCUCGUAGUUGAAUUUCGGGAUUGACGUGACGGUCGUGCCUUACGGGGUAUGAACUGUCGCCGUUGAUUUCUCACCUUCUGGAGAAGCUCGAUGUCCUUAAUUGGGUGUCUUGCGGAACCAGGACCUUUACCUUGAAAAAAUUAGAGUGUUUAAAGCAGGCAUUUUGCUCGAAUACAUUAGCAUGGAAUAAUAGAAUAGGACGGCAUGGUUCUAUUUUGUUGGUUUCUAGGAUCACCGUAAUGAUUAAUAGGGAUAGUUGGGGGAAUUAGUAUUCAAUUGUCAGAGGUGAAAUUCUUGGAUUUAUUGAAGACUAACUACUGCGAAAGCAUUUGCCAAGGAUGUUUUCAUUAAUCAAGAACGAAAGUUAGGGGAUCGAAGACGAUCAGAUACCGUCGUAGUCUUAACCAUAAACUAUGCCGACUAGGAAUCAGACGAUGUUAAUUUUUUAAUGACUCGUUUGGCACCUUACG
RNAcentral lists this ribosomal RNA (506 nucleotides) under uncultured Glomeromycotina. RNAcentral describes it as "partial small subunit ribosomal RNA". It matches the Rfam family "Eukaryotic small subunit ribosomal RNA", at positions 591 to 1092 of the family's 1831-position model. Lineage: Eukaryota; Fungi; Glomeromycota. The record is from RNAcentral.